UGGGAAAUCCCAUGGACAGAGGACCCUGGUGGGCGACAGUCCACGGAGUCGCAAAGAGUCGGCCAUGACUGAGUGACUAAACAACAGCAAAAACAACAAGUGUGGUAUAUAGACUCAACCCACCUAUGCAGACAAACCAAAUGGGCACCCUUAGCCUUCUGCAUACAUUCACUCCAACUAAGCCUGGAGCUGAUUUCCUUGUUUUGAUACUGAUAGAAGCUCAUGUUCUACAUUAGGUAAUUUCUACCUCUCUCUCUUUCUCUCCAGAAAACAAGAGAAUUUUAGUUUGUUCUCAAAGAAUGCCAGGUGAAAAAAAUAAAGAAGAAAGCCGUAAGCUCAUAAGCACAUAAUCAGAUCUUCCUGCCUUUCAUGCGGACCGUUGUUUGGAAGAACCACAGUACUACCUGAUCCACUGUUGGCUGACUCUGAGGAUACCGAACUGUGGAUACAGAGGAACCGUGGAUGUGGAGGAACCACGUGAGAGCUGGGUCGACAGGAAGUUUUAUUCGGAUUUUCUACUUCAAGGAGGGUCAGCAACCCUAGCCCCAUAAUUAGUCAAGGUCAACUGUACUUUCCUAUUGUUAACCACUUAAACUAUUUCCAGUUUUUACCUAGUGUAAAUAUUGUUGUGACUAGCAUUCUUGAACAUAUAUCUUUGGGCAUAUCCUAUUCUUUCCUGUAGACAAAUUACUAAGAGUAAUAUUGUUGGGUCAAAAGGCAAAUAGUUUUAAAUAAUCACAUGUAAUAUUACGACCCUAAGAUAACCCCUGCCAACAAUUUGAUGCAUAUUUAUACAGUCUUUUAAAAAAUGAAUAUGUAUGUGCGGGAAUACAUAUGUAGUUUUUGAAAAGUUGUUAUUGUGUUCUGUAUGGGAGGGCACCUACUGAAGAAUUUUAAGCAGGAGAAAGAUACAACUUGAUUUUUUUUUCUUUUGGCCACUCCAUGUGGGUUGCAGAAUCUUAAUUCUCCGACCCUGAUUGAACCCCAGCCCUGGCAGUGAAAGCUGUGAGACCUAACCACUGGACCACCAGGGAAUUCCUGGUUUUCUCUUUAGAAGAAGCAAUCUGGCUGACCUGUUGAAGACAGACUAUCAGCGAGCCAAAGCAGAGGCAGAACCCAGGUGGAGUCUGUGGCAGUGACCCCGGAGAGAGGCCACAGUGGCUUGCAGCAGAGGGCAGUGCUGGGGGAGUGAAUGGUGGUCAGAUUCUGGAUCUCUGCAGGAACACAGACAGUAUGUGGAGGAGGAGAGAAAGAAAGCAGUGCAGAUUAACUCCACGUUCUGGUGGCUUGAACACUUGGAAGGAUGGUGUAGACGUCGAGUGACGGGAAACGCUUGCGGAGAGGCAAGAACAGGAGUCCAUUUGCAGAGAAUGGAAAGAGGAAAACGAGUUAUGGCAGGACAGAACCAAAAUGCAAGAAAGGUCACAUUUCCAGAAGAGGAAUAAAUGAAUCAAAGGGCUUCCUAUCAAAGGCCUUGUUUUUAUCACCAAAAUUUCAUCCAGAAAGAAGUACCUAUUUAUUUUCUCGACAACAAUAUAUGAAUGGCUAUAUUUCCAA
Long non-coding RNA from Bubalus bubalis (water buffalo), 1557 nucleotides. RefSeq lists it as uncharacterized. NCBI's taxonomy places the organism in Eukaryota, Metazoa, Chordata, Mammalia, Artiodactyla, Bovidae. The record is from RefSeq and is a predicted model, not a curated record. The transcript has 4 exons.